CAGCAGCCGCGGGAAUACGUAGGGUGCAAGCGUUAAUCGGAAUUACUGGGCGCAAAGCGUGCGCAGGCGGUCCGCUAAGACAGAUGUGAAAUCCCCGGGCUUAACCUGGGAACUGCAUUUGUGGCUGGCGGGCUAGAGUAUGGCAGAGAGGGGUAGAAUUCCACGUGUAGCAGUGAAAUGCGUAGAGAUGUGGAGGAAUACCGAUGGCGAAGGCAGCCCCCUGGGCCAAUACUGACGCUCAUGCACGAAAGCGUGGGGAGCAAACAGGAUUAGAUACCCGCGUAGUCCCUGUCUCUUAUAC
RNAcentral lists this ribosomal RNA (301 nucleotides) under uncultured bacterium. RNAcentral describes it as "partial 16S ribosomal RNA". It matches the Rfam family "Bacterial small subunit ribosomal RNA", at positions 509 to 807 of the family's 1533-position model. The record is from RNAcentral.